GAGGAUUUAGCUCAGUGGCAUAAGCACCUGCCUGGCAAGCAGGAGAUCGUGAAUUGAAUUUUUG
Molecule: transfer RNA, 64 nt
Filed under: Cavia porcellus (domestic guinea pig)
Lineage: Eukaryota; Metazoa; Chordata; Mammalia; Rodentia; Caviidae
Rfam family: tRNA
About the family: Transfer RNA (tRNA) molecules are approximately 80 nucleotides in length.
Source: Rfam by way of RNAcentral